GGGCUAGUGGCGCAAUGGAUAACGCGUCUGACUACGAAUCAGGAGAUUCCAGGUUCGACUCCUGGCUAGCUCG
Molecule: non-coding RNA, 73 nt
Organism: Gasterosteus aculeatus (three-spined stickleback)
Lineage: Eukaryota; Metazoa; Chordata; Actinopteri; Perciformes; Gasterosteidae
Source: Rfam